Molecule: long non-coding RNA, 950 nt
Organism: Dreissena polymorpha
Lineage: Eukaryota; Metazoa; Mollusca; Bivalvia; Myida; Dreissenidae
Exons: 3
Source: RefSeq, a predicted model, not a curated record
GUUAGAGGAAAUGAAUUCACACCAUUUGGAUUACAACAAGAAAGAAAUACCAUUCAUGAAUAAUCAUGAAUAUAUUUUUAAAAAAGCUGAACAAGGAAUUAAUGUUAAUGUUAACAGAUGUGGAUUAUUUAUUCAUCCUGAACAUAAAUUUUUAGGUGGAAGUCCGGAUGGAAUCGUUUUUAUCAACAACAAUAGGGAAGGACUUAUUGAAGUUAAAAAUGUUUAAAAAAAUAAAGAAUGAACUUAUUUCAAGCUGCCAAUACAAACAGAAAUUUCUUUUGGGAAUAGAAAAGGAAAAAUUAAAAUUAAAAUUGAACCACAAUUACUAUCAGUGUCAAGGUUUAUUGCAUAUAUGCAAUUUACCGUGGAUAGACUUUAUAGGAAGGACCACAGACCCAUAUCAACUCCACGUGGAAACAAUUUAUAAAGACAAUAACCUUUGGGAAUCAUGGAUUCCAAAGCUUAAAGCAUUUUAUUGCAAGGUUUUAUUGCCAGAUUUAGCUUGUCGGAGACAAAGAAAAAUUCCAGGAAUAAGAGAGCCUGGAGUAUGGUUUGAAGAUACAACCAAGCCUUCUGUAAGUAAAAGGACGGUUACAUGUCGUAAGAAAACUACUUCAAGGACCAAACCAACUUCCACAGUGACGCAGAAGAUUAGUACAGUAACAUCAGAUAGGAAUACUGCAAGACGGGCAGCAUCUUCAAAAACAAAGUUUGUUGGUAGACAAAUUAAACAUAAAUGGAAGUUGUGCAUUGAUUCUGAAAAUACCGAGUGGUAUACUGGCUAUGUAACAUCCCUUUUGUCUGGAGUCGAUGGGAAUUCUAAUGCAGUGUAUGAAGUGCUAUAUGACAAUGAUGAUGAACCUUACAUGAUUUACCAUCUUGUAGAAGACUUCAAGGAAGGAUCAGUACAGUUUUUGGAUUUAUAGGGUAUAAUCUCGCAUACAUAUAUG